This 253-nucleotide ribosomal RNA is filed under the name uncultured bacterium. RNAcentral describes it as "partial 16S ribosomal RNA". It matches the Rfam family "Bacterial small subunit ribosomal RNA", at positions 524 to 776 of the family's 1533-position model. The record is from RNAcentral.
UACGGAGGAGGCAAGCGUUAUCCGGAAUUAUUGGGCGUAAAGCGUCCGUAGGUGGCCUGUCAAGUCAGUUGUUAAAAAGUGGAGCUUAACUCCAUAGGGGCAAAUGAAACUGACAAGCUAGAGUGCGAUAGGGGCAAGGGGAAUUCCCAGUGUAGCGGUGAAAUGCGUAGAUAUUGGGAAGAACAUCGGUGGCGAAAGCGCCUUGCUGGGUCUGCACUGACACUGAGGGACGAAAGCUAGGGGAGCGAAAGGG